GGAGGAUAGGCAUGGGAAGACAAUCAUUAAAAUUUCAUUGCAAUCUAUAUCGAAAUGUUCGAACCAGAGGAUCCUUUACUCCAUGCCAUUCAACAGUGCGAAAAAGCAAAGUGAGUGGCUGGCCUUUUCAAUAAGAUAAGCGUCUGUUUGGUCACUUUGCACUUCUGCUUGUUCUCAGGGAAAGCCUGCACCUGCUUUGCACAGCCAGGGGCCCCUGCCUCCCACCAGCGCCUCAACAGUCACACGCAGCUGGCACACAC
This is a long non-coding RNA of Tupaia belangeri chinensis (Chinese tree shrew), 260 nucleotides long. RefSeq lists it as uncharacterized. The transcript has 3 exons. NCBI's taxonomy places the organism in Eukaryota, Metazoa, Chordata, Mammalia, Scandentia, Tupaiidae. The record is from RefSeq and is a predicted model, not a curated record.